UACGGAGGGUGCAAGCGUUAAUCGGAAUUACUGGGCGUAAAGCGCGCGUAGGCGGCUUGAUAAGUCGAUUGUGAAAUCCCCGGGCUCAACCUGGGAAUUGCAGUCGAGACUGUCAGGCUAGAGUGUAGGAGAGGGUGGUGGAAUUCCCGGUGUAGCGGUGAAAUGCGUAGAUAUCGGGAGGAACAUCAGUGGCGAAGGCGACCGCCUGGCCUAACACUGACGCUGAGGUGCGAAAGCGUGGGUAGCAAACAGG
RNAcentral lists this ribosomal RNA (253 nucleotides) under uncultured Gammaproteobacteria bacterium. RNAcentral's name for it is "partial 16S ribosomal RNA". It matches the Rfam family "Bacterial small subunit ribosomal RNA", at positions 524 to 776 of the family's 1533-position model. Lineage: Bacteria; Pseudomonadati; Pseudomonadota; Gammaproteobacteria. The record is from RNAcentral.